This is an RNA transcript of Acomys russatus (golden spiny mouse), 1956 nucleotides long. It is a transcript of the gene named BICD family like cargo adaptor 1, with no coding region annotated. The record is from RefSeq and is a predicted model, not a curated record. Lineage: Eukaryota; Metazoa; Chordata; Mammalia; Rodentia; Muridae. The transcript has 11 exons.
GCCAUGUCCGCCUUCUGCCUGGGCUUGGCCGGCCGAGCUUCAGCACCCGCCGAGCCGGACAGCGCCUGCUGCAUGGAGCUGCCCGCUGAGGCCGGGGACGCAGUCGGGAGUCCCGCCGCCGCUGCCGCCGCCGCCCUCGUCUCCUUCCCCGGGGGCUCCGGGGAACUGGAACUGGCCUUAGAGGAGGAGCUGGCGUUGCUGGCGGCCGGGGAGCGGCCGUCCGACCUCGGGGAGCAUCCUCAGGUGGAGCCGGGGUCUCCGGCUGAGGAGCACGGACUGCCGCCGCCUACCCAGGAUCCGGAGCUGCUGUCGGUGAUCCGACAGAAGGAGAAGGAUCUGGUGUUGGCAGCCCGGCUAGGCAAGGCGCUGCUCGAGAGGAACCAGGACAUGAGCCGACAGUACGAGCAGAUGCACAAGGAGCUGACGGACAAGCUGGAGCACUUAGAACAAGAGAAGCACGAACUGAGAAGACGAUUCGAGAAUCGGGAAGGGGAGUGGGAAGGGCGUGUGUCAGAGCUGGAGACCGAUGUGAAGCAGCUGCAGGAGGAGCUGGAGAGGCAGCAGGUCCAUCUGCGGGAGGCAGAUCGAGAGAAGACGCGAGCCGUGCAGGAACUGUCAGAGCAGAACCAGAGGCUGCUGGAUCAGCUCAGCAAGGCCUCUGAAGUUGAGAGACAGCUCUCUAUGCAGGUCCACGCACUCAGAGAAGACUUCCGGGAGAAAAACUCAUCCACCAGCCAGCACAUCAUCCGGCUGGAGAGCCUUCAGGCCGAGAUCAAGAUGCUGUCGGAUCGGAAACGGGAGCUGGAGCAUCGGCUCAGCGCCACCUUCGAGGAGAACGGCCUGCUGCAGGGGACCGUGGAGGAGCUCCAGGACCGGGUGCUGGUCCUCGAGAGACAGGGCCACCACAAAGACCUGCAGCUGCACCAAAGCCAGCUGGAGCUCCAGGAGGUACGCCUGUCCUACCGGCAGCUGCAGCUCAAAGUGGAAGAGCUCACAGAAGAGAGGAGCCUGCAGAGCUCCGCUGCCACGAGCACGUCCUUGCUGUCUGAGAUCGAGCAGAGCAUGGAGGCCGAGGAGCUGGAGCAGGAGAGAGAGCAGCUGAGACUGCAGCUGUGGGAGGCCUACUGCCAGGUUCGCUAUCUCUGCUCACACCUUCGAGGGAACGACAGCGCAGACUCAGCCGUGUCCACAGAUUCCUCCAUGGAUGAGUCCUCAGAAACCUCAUCUGCCAAGGACGUGCCCGCUGGCAGCCUGCGCACUGCCCUCAGUGAUCUCAAGAGGCUGAUCCAGAGCAUUGUGGAUGGCAUGGAGCCCACGGCCGCGCGGAGAAUGGAUGAUGAGUCCUUAGAAGAACAAAUAAGGCAGACCAGUGAGGACUCAAGAGCCCUGAGGGAGCUCAUGGAGGGAGAGAGGGGUAAACUGAGGCAGAGCCUAGAAGAGCUGCAGCAACUGCACAGUCAGGUGACGCUGCUGAGUGUGGAGAUGACUGCACUGAAGGAAGAGAGGGACCGACUCAGAGUGACGUCUGAGGACAAGGAGCCCAAGGAGCAGCUUCAGAAGGCCAUCAGGGACCGGGAUGAGGCCAUCGCAAAGAAGAACGCUGUAGAGCUGGAACUCGCCAAGUGCAAGAUGGACAUGAUGUCUCUUAACAGCCAGCUACUGGAUGCCAUUCAGCAGAAACUGAGCCUCUCACAGCAGCUUGAGGCUUGGCAGUUUGCUUCCUCAGGGCUUUUUACUAUCUGGCUCCUCUGGUUUCUGAUCUAGUGGCCUUUCUCAGUUCCUGUACCCACAGCUUUAGUUGUACACCCCUCCUGCCUUUGAGGAUGACAUGCACAGGGUCAUUGACAGGCAGCUGAUGGACACGCACCUGAAGGAACAGAGCCGGCCUGCUGCUGCCUUCUCUAGGGGCCACGGCGUAGGGCAGGGGCAGGAGCCCAGCACCAUGGAUGGCAAACG